Molecule: ribosomal RNA, 500 nt
Filed under: uncultured bacterium
Lineage: Bacteria
Description: partial 16S ribosomal RNA
Rfam family: Bacterial small subunit ribosomal RNA
Source: RNAcentral
AUUGAACGCUGGCGGAAUGCUUUACACAUGCAAGUCGAACGGCAGCACGGACUUCGGUCUGGUGGCGAGUGGCGAACGGGUGAGUAAUGUAUCGGAACGUGCCCAGUCGUGGGGGAUAACGUAGUGAAAAUUACGCUAAUACCGCAUACGAUCUAUGGAUGAAAGCGGGGGAUCGCAAGACCUCGCGCGAUUGGAGCGGCCGAUAUCAGAUUAGGUAGUUGGUGGGGUAAAGGACCACCAAGCCAACGAUCUGUAACUGGUCUGAGAGGACGACCAGCCACACUGGAACUGAGACACGGUCAAGACUCCUACGGGAGGCAGCAGUGGGGAAUUUUGGACAAUAGGCGAAAGCCUGAUCCAGCCAUUCCGCGUGCAGGAUGAAGGCCCUCGGGUUGUAAACUGCUUUUGUACAGAACGAAAAGGUUUCUACUAAUACUAGGAGCUCAUGACGGUACUGUAAGAAUAAGCACCGGCUAACUACGUGCCAGCCGCCGCAGUAA